Molecule: small nuclear RNA, 104 nt
Organism: Dipodomys spectabilis (banner-tailed kangaroo rat)
Lineage: Eukaryota; Metazoa; Chordata; Mammalia; Rodentia; Heteromyidae
Source: RefSeq, a predicted model, not a curated record
GUGCUCCCUUCGGCAGUAUAUAUACUAAAAUUGGAACGAUACAUAGAUUAGCUUGGCCCCUGCACAAGAAUGACACGCAAAUUCAGGAAGCGUUCCCUAUUUUA